Molecule: ribosomal RNA, 397 nt
Filed under: uncultured bacterium
Lineage: Bacteria
Description: partial 16S ribosomal RNA
Rfam family: Bacterial small subunit ribosomal RNA
Source: RNAcentral
AUACGUAGGUGGCAAGCGUUGUCCGGAAUUAUUGGGCGUAAAGCGCGCGCAGGUGGUUCCUUAAGUCUGAUGUGAAAGCCCCCGGCUCAACCGGGGAGGGUCAUUGGAAACUGGGGAACUUGAGUGCAGAAGAGGAUAGUGGAAUUCCAAGUGUAGCGGUGAAAUGCGUAGAGAUUUGGAGGAACACCAGUGGCGAAGGCGACUGUCUGGUCUGUAACUGACACUGAGGCGCGAAAGCGUGGGGAGCAAACAGGAUUAGAUCCCCUGGUAGUCCACGCCGUAAACGAUGAGUGCUAAGUGUUGGGGGGUUUCCGCCCCUCAGUGCUGCAGCUAACGCAUUAAGCACUCCGCCUGGGGAGUACGGUCGCAAGACUGAAACUCAAAGGAAUUGACGGGG